UACGGGGGGGGCAAGCGUUGUUCGGAAUUACUGGGCGUAAAGGGCUCGUAGGCGGCCAACUAAGUCAUACGUGAAAUCCCUCGGCUUAACCGGGGAACUGCGUCUGAUACUGGAUGGCUUGAGUUCGGGAGAGGGAUGCGGAAUUCCAGGUGUAGCGGUGAAAUGCGUAGAUAUCUGAAGGAACAUCAGUGGCGAAAGCGACUUCCUGGACCAAUACUGACGCUCAUGUGCGAAAGCGUGGGGAGCAAACAGG
RNAcentral lists this ribosomal RNA (253 nucleotides) under uncultured bacterium. RNAcentral describes it as "partial 16S ribosomal RNA". It matches the Rfam family "Bacterial small subunit ribosomal RNA", at positions 524 to 776 of the family's 1533-position model. The record is from RNAcentral.